UACGUAGGGUGCGAGCGUUAAUCGGAAUUACUGGGCGUAAAGCGCGCGCAGGCGGUUUUGUAAGUCGGAUGUGAAAGCCCCGGGCUUAACCUGGGAAUGGCAUUUGGGACUGCAAGGCUUGAGUGCGGCAGAGGAGACUGGAAUUCCUGGUGUAGCAGUGAAAUGCGUAGAUAUCAGGAGGAAUACCGAUGGCGAAGGCAGGUCUCUGGGCUGACACUGACGCUCAUGCACGAAAGCGUGGGGAGCAAACAGG
Molecule: ribosomal RNA, 253 nt
Filed under: uncultured bacterium
Lineage: Bacteria
Description: partial 16S ribosomal RNA
Rfam family: Bacterial small subunit ribosomal RNA
Source: RNAcentral